UGGGGGAUCUUGCGCUAAUGCGCGAAAGCGUGACGCAGCGACGCCGCGUGGGGGAUGAAGGCCUUCGGGUCGUAAACCCCUUUCGGCAGGGACGAAGGGAAACUGACGGUACCUGCAGAAGAAGUCCCGGCUAACUACGUGCCAGCAGCCGCGGUAACACGUAGGGGACGAGCGUUGUCCGGAUUCAUUGGGCGUAAAGCGCGCGUAGGCGGCUCGGAAAGUCGGGCGUGAAAUGCCGGGGCUCAACCCCGGGACUGCGUCCGAUACUUCCGAGCUGGAGGUAGGUAGGGGAGAUCGGAAUUCCUGGUGUAGCGGUGAAAUGCGCAGAUAUCAGGAGGAACACCGGUGGCGAAGGCGGAUCUCUGGGCCUUACCUGACGCUGAGGCGCGAAAGCUAGGGGAGCGAACAGGAUUAGAUACCCUGGUAGUCCUAGCCGUAAACGUUGGGUGCUAGGUGUGGGCGGACAUCGACCCCGUCCGUGCCGAAGCUAACGCAUUAAGCACCCCGCCUGGGGAGUACGGCCG
This 524-nucleotide ribosomal RNA is filed under the name uncultured Actinomycetes bacterium. RNAcentral's name for it is "bacterial SSU rRNA". It matches the Rfam family "Bacterial small subunit ribosomal RNA", at positions 355 to 888 of the family's 1533-position model. The record is from RNAcentral. Lineage: Bacteria; Bacillati; Actinomycetota; Actinomycetes.